GGGUCGUGCGCCUACGUGGUUCGCUUAGAUACGGCGAGGACGCUUCUGCGCGCAGGGAGUUCGACGCGAGCCAUUCUACAGCUGGCCUCGCGAGCGACAGUCGCACGGGGCGACGUGGACUGUUGACGGUUACGACUGAGGCGGCUGGAGGGAGGCGAAGACGGCGGCGUCGGGGUCGGCGGCAGCGGCGGCGGCAGCGGUCCGGUUAUCUCAGUGGAUCCCAGAGUAGAGACGUAACGGUUCCUGAGGAAACGGUCCCCGACUCAGUUGUUUGAGGGUGAAUCUUCACUGUAGCCUCCAAAGUGUCUUAAAGGUGCUUGUGUUCCCUGGUUAGGAUGCCAUAACUUCGUUUUGGUCAACUGUGAAGAAGUGAAUUGUGGCUUCUCCAAUCUUUCUUCCCUUGAUCACAUUUUCAGCACGAGAUAUUGGGUAAUAUCCUAUUCUGUAGAACUUGUAUUGAAAUAGGUUUACCUUGGGAUUUUAAAAAGGUUGGGAAAUACUGUUGCUCUCAAAAACUUUAGUAGUGCAGAGCAGGGGCCUGUGUGAAGGUUGCUUUUGACCUGUAGGUGGCGACUGGUGGGCAGGAAUUUUGCUGGUAAUUUUCAGAUUGUGGAAAUAUAACUGAGAAGCAAAACACUGGCAACUUCAUGAUAUGCAUUUCCCACAAAUAAUACUCUGAUUAUUCAGUGAUUGAGGCAAAAGUAUGGAAGAUACUCAGCCACAUUCCUUUAAUUCCCUGAUAGCUUUUUUUUUUUUCAUGAGAAGAGAAAGCAGUGAGUCUUCUUCAAUAGAAUUGUUUAUUAAUCCAAGAUAUAAAGCAGUAUUCCUGGUGGAGGUGUCUGGAGAGAAGUGUUCUUCAACAAAAAUGUUCCUGGUGAAAAAGGGGCAAAAGACCAAAAUACUGGUCAGAUAGGUCUACUGACUGCUCUGUGCAGAUUUUUAA
Long non-coding RNA from Sapajus apella (tufted capuchin), 943 nucleotides. RefSeq lists it as uncharacterized. The record is from RefSeq and is a predicted model, not a curated record. The transcript has 3 exons. Lineage: Eukaryota; Metazoa; Chordata; Mammalia; Primates; Cebidae.